AGCUUUGUGCAGUGGCAGUACCGUAGCCAGUGAGGUUUAUCCAAGGCGUGACUAUUGCUAAUUGAAAACUUUUCCCAAUACCCCUCCAUGACAACUUGAAAUAUAGUUGGCGUAAAAAAAAG
Small nuclear RNA from Vicugna pacos (alpaca), 122 nucleotides. Its record names the gene U4. It matches the Rfam family "U4 spliceosomal RNA". Rfam says of the family: U4 small nuclear RNA (U4 snRNA) is a component of the major U2-dependent spliceosome. The structure of U4 snRNA from yeast and human has been reported. U4 snRNA presents a k-turn RNA motif in the 5p-SL related to recognition of Snu13 protein. The record is from Ensembl. NCBI's taxonomy places the organism in Eukaryota, Metazoa, Chordata, Mammalia, Artiodactyla, Camelidae.